CACGUAGGGGGCGAGCGUUGUCCGGAUUUAUUGGGCGUAAAGAGCUCGUAGGCGGUUCACGUCGGUGGUGAAAACUCUGGGCUCAACCCAGAGACGCCACCCGAUACUGCGGUGACUAGAGUCCGGUAGGGGAGUGCGGAAUUCCUGGUGUAGCGGUGAAAUGCGCAGAUAUCAGGAGGAACACCAACGGCGAAGGCAGCACUCUGGGCCGGUACUGACGCUGAGGAGCGAAAGCGUGGGGGAGCGAACAGG
This 252-nucleotide ribosomal RNA is filed under the name uncultured bacterium. Its description in RNAcentral is "partial 16S ribosomal RNA". It matches the Rfam family "Bacterial small subunit ribosomal RNA", at positions 524 to 776 of the family's 1533-position model. The record is from RNAcentral.